GUGGGGGAUAUUGCACAAUGGGGGAAACCCUGAUGCAGCAACGCCGCGUGAAGGAUGAAGGUUUUCGGAUUGUAAACUUCUGUUCUUAGUGACGAUAAUGACGGUAGCUAAGAAGAAAGCUCCGGCUAACUACGUGCCAGCAGCCGCGGUAAUACGUAGGGAGCGAGCGUUGUCCGGAUUUACUGGGUGUAAAGGGUGCGUAGGCGGCAGAGCAAGUCAGGCGUGAAAGCCAUGGGCUUAACCCAUGAACUGCGCUUGAAACUGUUUUGCUUGAGUGAAGUAGAGGCAGGCGGAAUUCCCGGUGUAGCGGUGAAAUGCGUAGAGAUCGGGAGGAACACCAGUGGCGAAGGCGGCCUGCUGGGCUUUAACUGACGCUGAGGCACGAAAGCAUGGGUAGCAAACAGGAUUAGAUACCCUUGUAGUCC
RNAcentral lists this ribosomal RNA (425 nucleotides) under uncultured bacterium. Its description in RNAcentral is "bacterial SSU rRNA". It matches the Rfam family "Bacterial small subunit ribosomal RNA", at positions 354 to 796 of the family's 1533-position model. The record is from RNAcentral.